UCUGGUGCCAGCAGCCGCGGUAAUUCCAGCUCCAAUAGCGUAUAUUAAAGUUGCUGCGGUUAAAAAGCUCGUAGUUGGACUUGUGUCCCACGCCGUCGGUUCGUCGCCCGUCGGCGUUACCGUUCGGUUAUAUCAGUGGGACGUCCAGUCGGUGGGGUGCUGACUUCGCGCGUCGCUCUCGGGUGACAAGCUUAGUAUCGGCCUCAUUCUACCCGUCUCGGUGCUCUUAACCGAGUGUCUUGACGGGCCGUCUCGUUUACUUUGAACAAAUUAGAGUGCUCAAAGCAGGCUACGAUGCUUGAAUAUUGUGUGCAUGGAAUAAUAAAACAGGACCUCGGUUCUAUUUUGUUGGUUUUCUGAAUCGGAGGUAAUGAUUAAUAGAAACGGACGGAGGCGCUCGUAUUGCUACGUUAGAGGUGAAAUUCUUGGAUUGUCGCAAGACGAACGAGUGCGAAAGCAUUCGCCGAGAACACUUUCAUUAAUCAAGAACGAAAGUUAGAGGUUCGAAGGCGAUCAGAUACCGCCCUAGUUCUAACCAUAAACGAUGCCAACUAGCGAUCCGCCGAUGUUCCUCCGAUGACUCGACGGGCAGCUUCCGGGAAACCAAAGUGUUUGGGUUCCGGGGGAAGUAUGGUUGCAAAGCUGAAACUUAAAGGAAUUGACGGAAGGGCACCACCAGGAGUGGAGCCUGCGGCUUAAUUUGACUCAACACGGGAAACCUCACCAGGCCCGGACACUGGAAGGAUUGACAGAUUGAUAGCUCUUUCUUGAUUCAGUGGGUGGUGGUGCAUGGCCGUUCUUAGUUGGUGGAGCGAUUUGUCUGGUUAAUUCCGAUAACGAACGAGACUCUGGCCUACUAACUAGUCGCGAAACGACAUCCGCAUUCGUGCUGUCGGCGACAAUAUGAACUCUUCUUAGAGGGACAAGCGGCUUCUAGCCGCACGAGAUUGAGCAAUAACAGGUCUGUGAUGCCCUUAGAUGUUCUGGGCAGCACGCGCGCUACACUGAAGGAAUCAACGUGUGCAAAUCCUUGUCCGAGAGGACCGGGUAACCCGCUGAACCUCCUUCGUGCUAGGGAUUGGGGCUUGCAAUUAUUUCCCAUGAACGAGGAAUUCCCAGUAAGCGCGGGUCAUUAGCUCGCAUUGAUUACGUCCCUGCCCUUUGUACACACCGCCCGUCGCUACUACCGAUUGAAUGAUUUAGUGAGGUCUUCAGACCGUCGCGCGGCUGCAACGAAAGUGUUUGUCGAUGUCGAUGGGAAGAUGAUCAAACUUGAUUAUUUAGAGGAAGUAAAAGUCGUAACAAGGUUUCCCC
This 1314-nucleotide ribosomal RNA is filed under the name Nemurella pictetii. RNAcentral's name for it is "SSU rRNA". It matches the Rfam family "Eukaryotic small subunit ribosomal RNA", at positions 560 to 1806 of the family's 1831-position model. The record is from RNAcentral. Lineage: Eukaryota; Metazoa; Arthropoda; Insecta; Plecoptera; Nemouridae.